GACGAACGCUGGCGGCGUGCCUAAUACAUGCAAGUCGAACGCAUUUUCUUUCACCGUAGCUUGCUACACCGAAAGAAAAUGAGUGGCGAACGGGUGAGUAACACGUUGGUAACCUGCCCAUCAGCGGGGGAUAACACUUGGAAACAGGUGCUAAUACCGCAUAAUUCCAUUUACUGCAUGGUAGAUGGAUGAAGGGCGCUUUUGCGUCACUGAUGGAUGGACCCGCGGUGCAUUAGCUAGUUGGUGGGGUAACGGCCUACCAAGGCUGCGAUGCAUAGCCGACCUGAGAGGGUGAUCGGCCACACUGGGACUGAGACACGGCCCAGACUCCUACGGGAGGCAGCAGUAGGGAAUCUUCGGCAAUGGACGCAAGUCUGACCGAGCAACGCCGCGUGAGUGAAGAAGGUUUUCGGAUCGUAAAACUCUGUUGUUAGAAAAGAACAAGGAUGAGAGUGGAAAGUUCAUCCCUUGACGGUAUCUAACCAGAAAGCCACGGCUAACUACGUG
RNAcentral lists this ribosomal RNA (507 nucleotides) under uncultured bacterium. RNAcentral's name for it is "partial 16S ribosomal RNA". It matches the Rfam family "Bacterial small subunit ribosomal RNA", at positions 28 to 507 of the family's 1533-position model. The record is from RNAcentral.